GAUGAACGCUGGCGGCGUGCCUAAUACAUGCAAGUCGAGCGAACAGACGAGGAGCUUGCUCCUCUGACGUUAGCGGCGGACGGGUGAGUAACACGUGGAUAACCUACCUAUAAGACUGGGAUAACUUCGGGAAACCGGAGCUAAUACCGGAUAAUAUAUUGAACCGCAUGGUUCAAUAGUGAAAGACGGUUUUGCUGUCACUUAUAGAUGGAUCCGCGCCGCAUUAGCUAGUUGGUAAGGUAACGGCUUACCAAGGCGACGAUGCGUAGCCGACCUGAGAGGUGGAUCGGCAACACGGGACCGAGACCAGGUGCCAGACUCCAACGGGAGGCAGCGGUAGGAAUUUUGCCGAAAGGGGCGAAAGCCUGACGAGGCAACGCGGCGUGAGUGAGGAAGGUCUCCGGUUCGUAAAACUCUGUUAUUAGGAAAGAACAAAUGUGUAAGUAACUAUGCACGUCUGGACGGAACCAAAGCAGAAGGCCACGCCUACCUCCUG
This 496-nucleotide ribosomal RNA is filed under the name uncultured bacterium. RNAcentral's name for it is "partial 16S ribosomal RNA". It matches the Rfam family "Bacterial small subunit ribosomal RNA", at positions 28 to 507 of the family's 1533-position model. The record is from RNAcentral.